This 668-nucleotide ribosomal RNA is filed under the name Desulfovibrio piger. Its description in RNAcentral is "partial 23S ribosomal RNA". It matches the Rfam family "Bacterial large subunit ribosomal RNA", at positions 272 to 936 of the family's 2925-position model. Lineage: Bacteria; Pseudomonadati; Thermodesulfobacteriota; Desulfovibrionia; Desulfovibrionales; Desulfovibrionaceae. The record is from RNAcentral.
AACCAAGAGGCUUGCCUCUUGGGGUUGUAGGACAUUCUAUACGGAGUUACAAAGGAACGAGGUAGACGAAGCGACCUGGAAAGGUCCGUCGUAGAGGGUAACAACCCCGUAGUCGAAACUUCGUUCUCUCUUGAAUGUAUCCUGAGUACGGCGGAACACGUGAAAUUCCGUCGGAAUCUGGGAGGACCAUCUCCCAAGGCUAAAUACUCCCUAGUGAUCGAUAGUGAACCAGUACCGUGAGGGAAAGGUGAAAAGCACCCCGGAAGGGGAGUGAAAGAGAUCCUGAAACCGUGUGCCUACAAAUAGUCAGAGCCCGUUAAUGGGUGAUGGCGUGCCUUUUGUAGAAUGAACCGGCGAGUUACGAUCCCGUGCGAGGUUAAGUUGAAGAGACGGAGCCGCAGCGAAAGCGAGUCUGAAUAGGGCGUUUAGUACGUGGUCGUAGACCCGAAACCAGGUGAUCUACCCAUGUCCAGGGUGAAGUUCAGGUAACACUGAAUGGAGGCCCGAACCCACGCACGUUGAAAAGUGCGGGGAUGAGGUGUGGGUAGCGGAGAAAUUCCAAUCGAACCUGGAGAUAGCUGGUUCUCCCCGAAAUAGCUUUAGGGCUAGCCUUAAGUGUAAGAGUCUUGGAGGUAGAGCACUGAUUGAACUAGGGGUCCUCAUCGGAU